Vidua macroura (Pin-tailed whydah) is the source of this 400-nucleotide long non-coding RNA. RefSeq lists it as uncharacterized. The transcript has 3 exons. Lineage: Eukaryota; Metazoa; Chordata; Aves; Passeriformes; Viduidae. The record is from RefSeq and is a predicted model, not a curated record.
GAUGAAAGCUCCCUGGUCUGAGCAAGUGCUAGUGAGCUUAGCGCAGAGGACAGAGAACUACUGACAGCUUAUCAUCACAGUUUUGAUGAAAAGGUGGAUCUGGACCUCAUUAUGCACUCACUUCAUAACAUCUGUCAUAGUUGUGAGACCGGAGCGAUUUUAAUAUUUCUUCCUGGAUAUGAUGAGAUAGCUUGAGGGACCGCAUUCUUUUUGAUGACAGGAGAUUUGCUGACCAUGCACACAGAUUCUUUCUACAAAUACAGCAGAAACCAGCAUAACAGUCAAUGAUGUGGUAUUUGUUAUUGGCUCAGGCAAGGUGAAAGAGGUAUGACUGGUUAAAACCUUCUGUGACAAGUAAACUUCCUAGUGUUAUUCUAACAUAUGUAAUAGGUAAAUUUUA